This 74-nucleotide transfer RNA is filed under the name Sulfidibacter corallicola. It matches the Rfam family "tRNA". From Rfam's summary of the family: Transfer RNA (tRNA) molecules are approximately 80 nucleotides in length. Their secondary structure includes four short double-helical elements and three loops (D, anti-codon, and T loops). Further hydrogen bonds mediate the characteristic L-shaped molecular structure. tRNAs have two regions of fundamental functional importance: the anti-codon, which is responsible for specific mRNA codon recognition, and the 3' end, to which the tRNAs corresponding amino acid is attached (by aminoacyl-tRNA synthetases). tRNAs cope with the degeneracy of the genetic code in two manners: having more than one tRNA (with a specific anti-codon) for a particular amino acid; and 'wobble' base-pairing, i.e. permitting non-standard base-pairing at the 3rd anti-codon position. The record is from Rfam by way of RNAcentral. Lineage: Bacteria; Pseudomonadati; Acidobacteriota; Holophagae; Acanthopleuribacterales; Acanthopleuribacteraceae.
GAGAAUGUGGCCCAAUCGGCAGAGGCAGCGAGCUUAAAAUUCGUGUGUUGCGGGUUCGAUUCCCGCCAUUCUCA